This 362-nucleotide ribosomal RNA is filed under the name Stylocheiron sp. USNM IZ 1449927. RNAcentral's name for it is "SSU rRNA". Lineage: Eukaryota; Metazoa; Arthropoda; Malacostraca; Euphausiacea; Euphausiidae. The record is from RNAcentral.
UAAGUACAGGCCUAAGUAAGGCGAAACCGCGAAUGGCUCAUUAAAUCAGUUAUGGUUCAUUGGAUCUUACCCUUUCUUACUUGGAUAACUGUGGUAAUUCUAGAGCUAAUACAUGCCAACCAGUAGCUCCGACACACUCCCGUGUGGAAGAGCGCUUUUAUUAGAUCAAAACCAGUCCUCCCUCGGGAGGUCAAACCCCUUCGUGGUGACUCUGAAUAACUUUUAGCUGAGCGCACGGUCUCCGCGCCGGCGCCGCAUCUUUCAAGUGUCUGCCUUAUCAGCUUUCGAUUGUAGGUUAUGCGCCUACAAUGGCUAUAACGGGUAACGGGGAAUCAGGGUUCGAUUCCGGAGAGGGAGCCKGA